Molecule: long non-coding RNA, 1145 nt
Filed under: Homo sapiens (human)
Lineage: Eukaryota; Metazoa; Chordata; Mammalia; Primates; Hominidae
Description: HSALNT0250196
Source: RNAcentral
ACAGACUGCUGAGGAGGCAGAAGAACUCAUUGAGGGAUCCUCUAUUGAGCAACAAAGUCACCUGCUGUUUAAUGGAAUAUAUAUCACAUAUAUAUAUGGAAGGAGAGAGAGAGAGUUGGCUUGUGCAGUUAAUGAAGCUGAGAAGUUCAAGAUCUGCAGCUUGUGAUUGUACUGGUAUAGUACCAGCCCCGGUCCAAAGAUCUGAGAAACAGGAAAGGUGAUGGUGCCAUUUCCUGCACAAAUCUGAAGACAGAAGAGCAAUGUCUCAGCUCAAAGACAAUCAAGUAGAGAGAAAACAUUCUCCCUUUUUUUCUAUUCAGGACUUCAGCCGAUUAGAUCAGAACUACACACAUUUGGAAUCUGCCCUACUCAGUCUGCCAAUUCAAAUAUUAAUCUCAUCCAAAAGCCCCUCACAUAUACAACAGAAAUAAAGAUUAACCAAAUAUGUGGGCACUCCAUAGCUUAGUAAAGUUGACACAUAAAAUUAAUCGUGAUUCCAACACUUGUCAAUUUGGCACCCAGAUAAAACUUUACAAACCAUACUUAAACUCCAAAUAAAGGCGCUAACAAGGUCAUAAUUUUACCUAACCUGAUACAACUAUCCUGUGCACAACCUGAAAGGCACUAACACCAGCUCCAGAAGAGGAGAUAAAGUUUUUGAGUAAUGUUUACUCUUCUCUUUGAUAUUAUGCAACUUAAAUACAAUGACGUAAAAUGAACAAUACUUAAAUACUAUGAUAUAUAGCCAAUAUAUCUUAAGUUACAUGAUGAGGAAAUACGAGAGAGAAGAAAACUGUUUGCUUGAUACACACAGGAACAUAUUUCAACCAAAAUAAAGAGGGAUACUCAUGACAAUCAUAGUCUUUUUUUUUUCUGUAACUGAUCACUUGAUUGUAGCUGAUAUUUAUAAUAUAAGUACCUUCUUCCACUGCCUAUUCUGUAUAACCUUUGCUUAAUUCAAGCACCUCAGCUGGUUGUGGUUCUUUACCAAGUGGGGUGAUGUAAACCUUUCUUCCUGAAGUGUCUGGGCCAUGAGUAGUCCUUCCUGAAUUGAGUUGUUGGAAUUUCCCAUUGACCUUAAUUGAAGGGCAUGCUAAUACUAAAUGACACCCAAAGUGAUCUCUUGUAUUCCAGACAUCCUCUUU